AAGUCGUAACAAGGUUUCCGUAGGUGAACCUGCGGAAGGAUCAUUACUGAUUCUGAAGGAAUGUGCUGGCCUCGAAGGAGGAAUUGUGCACUUCCUCUCAAAGUCUCAUUCACCUGUGCACAUAUGAUGGGCAUCAGAAAGGAAACCAAGAUAAUUGGUUCUUGACUUUUGCUCGUUGCAUUUUUCUCACACUUAAACUAUGAUAUUGUAUUUGAAAACCAAAUGUAACAACUUUCAACAAUGGAUCUCUUGGUUCUCGCAUCGAUGAAGAACGCAGCGAAUUGCGAUAUGUAAUGUGAAUUGCAGAAUUCAGUGAAUCAUCGAAUCUUUGAACGCACAUUGCACCCUCUGGUAUUCCGGAGGGUAUGCCUGUUUGAGUGUCAUUAUCACCUCAAAGCAAUAGUGGGUUAAUUCCUUCUUUUGCAAUUGGAUGUUGAAGGCUUGCUGGUGCCCUUGAUGCAAUCCAGCUCCUUUUAAAUGCAUUAGCAGGACUUUGCAUGACCAGCUCCAGUUUGAUACCAAGAGUUAUCUGAGCUGCUGCUGUGAAAGCUCCUANUCAUCUGCUUCUCNAANNGUCUGUGGACUUUGUCCUAGUGGACAAACAUACUUUGAACUUGACCUCAAAUCAGGUAGGACUACCCGCUGAACUUA
RNAcentral lists this ribosomal RNA (651 nucleotides) under uncultured fungus. RNAcentral's name for it is "eukaryotic LSU rRNA". The stretch from base 230 to 383 matches the Rfam family "5.8S ribosomal RNA". The record is from RNAcentral. Lineage: Eukaryota; Fungi.